Molecule: ribosomal RNA, 2274 nt
Filed under: Triticum aestivum (bread wheat)
Lineage: Eukaryota; Viridiplantae; Streptophyta; Magnoliopsida; Poales; Poaceae
Description: partial small subunit ribosomal RNA
Source: RNAcentral
AUGUUAAUCAGAGGGCUAGGCUUUCUGGUAGUUACCUGGACCACCGUCGUUCUUCUGGGUGGCUUCGUCUCCCUACUGCACAAGAAGGAUUUUUGGUCUCUCACGGUGAUUACACUCAUACAGAUAUCGAGGGUGGUCGAUAACUAUGGGGGUGAGAACUGGAGCUCAUUUGCGGCGUCAUCAAGGGGAUUGAAUGCGGUACGCUCAGUAUUUGCACGGGGCAGGAUGGAUGAUGACAAUAUAAGAGCUGUACUGUUGGUUAAGCAAAUUUUAGGAUGUAUUGCAUUCUGGGUCCAACUAGCGACGUACGCCAUUCUAUUAUUAUGCAGUGCUGCUGUUAUCUUUCAUGCGGGGCCGUUUAUCGCUAUCGGGGUUUCCCUGUGGCGUUUAAAACAGCAUGAUUACGGUAACUCUGAUGGAGAUUCUAGCACAGCAAACAUGAAGCCGGCCCUUGAUGUCUUGUACAUCAUUGUUGUGGUCCAAGGUGCAAUCAUUAACUACAGUCUAAUGCUCAAUGCUCUUGUGCCGAAAAAGCUAGUGGCCGUAGUGGCCAAAAUAUACGGCUUCGAAGGUCCAGGUGUCGCAUUAGUUAAGAAAUACAUGAUAGAAACAAGGAAGGGAUGCGCGAAGCACCCGUCGUUCGCCAAAGGAAGGAACCUGGUGACAUAUGCUGUGGACCUGAUGGCGCAUGAUAAGUUGCCUCAAGACUACCUCUCCGGGUUGAAGAUCCUGAGAACAAUCCUCGGACCACUGGACCAGAUGAAAUCGAAUAAGUUUAAGGAGCAGCGCAUGCUAAUAAGACAGCUGAUCUUGUACGCACCAUCCAGCCACAUCUUCCGCCGCCUGUUGGUCCUAUCAAAUCCGAGAGGCUACCCAUAUGGCACAGAAAAGAGUGCACAAAGAGAGAUGACCAAGCACGCAGCGAGUAUAGUGGUGCACAUAGCAGACGGGGCCAGUGAGGAGCAGAUUCCCCAAGUGAUCCAGUGCAUGUCAUCACUGAUGGGCACAUUCGAAGAAAGUGAGCAUUAUCCCGAGGAGGAGGACUACCUGAAGCGGUUGUGGGAAUGUCUGCAUGUUCUUUUUUUGUUCGCAGCCGACGAGAACAAUUGUAUACUCAUCAUCCACGCUCGAGGUUUGCUCACCAAGAUCCUGACGCCUCUAACCUCCGACCACUACCACCAAAAUAAUCAUGAAGAUUGGGGGGACGUACUAGCGGAAUCACUGAAACUGAUUAACCGGCUCACGACUGUUCAUGGUCAUGGACAAACCCUGCUUCGGGAUAUCUCAACCAACCAGGAAGCAGUCGAGCCAAUGAACAGGAUUCUCGGGUGUGCUGAAUGUGAUGAUAAAGAACAGAAGGCAUUGAUCAUAAGGAUUUUCACCGAACUACACGUGCAGGUGCAGCUCCCAAACAGAGUAAAUUUCAUCGAGAUGCUAGCAGACAUCUACACUUACACUGCCGUCGGCUCCACCAGAAUACCUGGGCCAGCCAGAAUAGCGGCACUUGAAGCACUGGCGAAGCUAUGUUCCCGAGAUGGAAGCAAUGCCAGGAUUAUUUUACAAGUAAAUGGUUCUGCAGUUUACUCUUUCACAGGGGAUCUUGACGCUGCAAGUAAUGGAUAUUGCAGAUACCAUAUAAGUGUAGCGGAAAUCCUACAGCAUGCUUGUCUCCAUUACACUAGGGAUGAUGAAUGCCUCGGAGUACUCAAGGGAUCCAUGACUUACGUGAUGCCAAAGGUGCUCACCAAAAUACUUACAGGUCAAGAAGGCGCUGCUUCGCAAAAUAAUUGCCAGCACAGGAUAAUUCAAAAACAGCAAAUAGAGAAAGCUCUAUUAUCCCUUGGCGUGACAGUACAUGAGAUGUUCAUCAGUGCUGAUCAGGAUUUGGCUGUUCAUUUUGAUGGCGCAAUUGGUGAAUUUAGCCUUCCGGUGAAGCUCAGGGAGAUGGUACAAAGAAACAGUGACCCCACGGCAAGUUGCCUUAUUAUACUUAAGCUUAUCAGCAGAAUGGUCAUAUCGAUGAUGAAAUGCAGAGGUAGCAGAUACCCCAAGCCAGACUUGGAGAGCUUGGUGGAUGCACUGUGGAAGGCUUGCAGCAGAAAGAUGUAUUUUAUUGACAGCUCCAUGGAUUUCGCAAGCGGUGACCACGCAGCGAAGCCUCACAGGAUUCUGGAUUCAUUUGUCAUAGAAGCAAUGGAGCUUGUUCGCAACUACAGGGAAACGGAAGUCAUGUCGCCCCAUACCAUUGUCGGUGGGGAGCUCUCAUCCAAUUAA